This is a long non-coding RNA of Ahaetulla prasina, 577 nucleotides long. RefSeq lists it as uncharacterized. The record is from RefSeq and is a predicted model, not a curated record. NCBI's taxonomy places the organism in Eukaryota, Metazoa, Chordata, Lepidosauria, Squamata, Colubridae. The transcript is spliced from 3 exons.
CCCGCGGGGUGGUCAGGGCAGCCGACGUUUUCAGGGAGAAAAAUGCCUAGUGGGCUCCGCUAGUAAGGCGACUCGCUUCACCCCUUGCGUUUUAUUUUGCGUCUGAAAGCGCCUUUCUGCUGGAUGAGGCUGGAGCUUGCUUCUCGCGCUCCAUUUUUUUAUUAUUAUUGUUUUGGCAAGGACAAGAAUCAAGCUGCUCAGUCGUUUGAGUAUUGUAGGUGCUGCUACCCCAUCUUUUUAUUGAGCCUGUUUCUUUGCAGUUGCUUUGUACAUACGUUUUAUAAUUGUUUAUUUUUUCAUGUGUUGUGUAUUCUACUCAAGACCUGUUUUUACGAUGUAAUAAGCAUGUCACUAUUUUUUUCAACCCGUUAACCAAGAGGAACGUUUAGUGUUUGCAAAAAUUCAGAAAUUCUAAGAGAACAAAUACGUUUUUCACAGAAUGUAGUGUACAAAUCAGUGCUAGCCACAUCAAUCAGCAAAAGUUUUUCCAGCUCCCUGAUUCAGUGACUCAAACAACCCAAUUAUGGGGAUGUUUUGAUGUGCAAGUGAUAACUUCCCUGCAAGAAACAAAAUUUUG